GCUAUAAUUGUAAUGCAUGACUUUAAUGUUAAAGAUCGUUGUUUAACAUAUUGUACAUUUUGAUCCUCUUCCUUGGUGAAAUGUGUUUUCACUGGGACUAGUAAAACUUUUUUUUUUAUUGACUGCUCAGCAGAUAUAGAAAUUGCACAUCGACAAAGACAGGUUUGAGCGAGCUGUCAAUCACCAACUGUCACUGGCCAACACAAAACUGCACUUUUCACUGCACUUCCUGCUGUUCCAUGUACUGUAGCGGUACGCUUCUGACUAAGAUGUGGUGAAAAUACAAAAUGGAAAACACAACGCCUACUGUAUUCCUAUGAUUUAACUUUUUUAGACUAAUAUUCAGCCAUUUUUGAGGCUCAGCCAAACUUGGAUAAUUUAGCUGAUUCCCAACUGUACUCCACUUUGGGUCAUAACUACAGUAGUUGCCCAUAUCUGUUGCUAUAUUAAAUACUGGGAGAUAAUAUUUCAACUUUAAUAGACAACUUUUAAUAUCUUUACGACAGCAUUUUUCUUUUAUCGGAAGAUGCUAACCAACUGGGAAAGUUCUACUCCGACAACAGGGGGCCUGUUAGAUGAAACAUCUGUUAAAAACAUGAGUAAAAUGCCUUCAGAUGAACCUGGUUCCGUUUUACUUUUCUUGAUCCACUUAAAAGUACCCAGAGCAGAAAUGUUUAUGUUUUUAGAAAACAAAUGCGUACUGCGUCUUUAAGAAACCUGGCAACCCCUUCUGUGCCAGAUUGCAACAUACACAUACUGUAUAUCUGUGGUUGGCCUGGAGCAAAUUAUCGAGUUGGUUUUUUUUUUCUUUUGUUUGUUUCUUUUUGGCUCUCGGAGGGAAAACUUUGAGCAGCUAUGUAGAGCAAAUACCGUGUAAUUACGCCUUCAUUAAUCAUUCGUUUCAUAUUUCUGCUUCGUAUUAUACUUUGUUCCAAACACAGAACGUCAAAUGUCGAUGUUUAAAACCCACGUAGUACAACGUCUUCGUCUCGUAUGUGUACAUGUUGUGCCCUACUUUCCCCAUGGGUGUGACCAUAAAAACUUAUUAAUUGGAGCCGUACCACAGGGACUCGGACUCGGACUAGCUUAGCAGACGUUUAGCGUCAGCGGCUCCACAUCCCUCAGGGACUCUCUUCUCCCCGUGUGUGUGUGUGUGUGUUUGUGUACGCGCCUGUGUGCGUGUGUUUGUCUUACAGCUCCUUAUCAGGUUGGUUGCGUUACUACACCCUGGGCUUCCUGCUGCAUCCAUCUGCCUCAAACUAACAAGCGGCGGACUGUCACUGCGCACCCGAAGGUUGAAACGGACUGUGAAUCUCGUGGACUUUCUCAGG
Molecule: long non-coding RNA, 1331 nt
Organism: Cynoglossus semilaevis (tongue sole)
Lineage: Eukaryota; Metazoa; Chordata; Actinopteri; Pleuronectiformes; Cynoglossidae
Exons: 2
Source: RefSeq, a predicted model, not a curated record